AUGUGAGAUGAUGUGAGCUGAAGUGAGAUGAAGUGAGCUGAAGUGAGGUGAUGUGAGCUGAAGUGAGGUGAAGUGAGAUGAUGUGAGAUGAUGUGAGCUGAAGUGAGAUGAAGUGAGCUGAAGUGAGGUGAAGUGAGAUGAAGUGAGCUGAAGUGAGCUGAAGUGAGAUGAAGUGAGCUGAAGUGAGGUGAUGUGAGCUGAAGUGAGGUGAUGUGAGCUGAAGUGAGGUGAAGUGAGGUGAUGUGAGAUGAAGUGAG
Molecule: long non-coding RNA, 257 nt
Organism: Ctenopharyngodon idella (grass carp)
Lineage: Eukaryota; Metazoa; Chordata; Actinopteri; Cypriniformes; Xenocyprididae
Exons: 3
Source: RefSeq, a predicted model, not a curated record